UUUUUUAAUUGAAGACUGGGAUGAAAGAUAAAAACUUAGAGGAGUGUUUUAUUUAAUAAUUUUAAAAUUUAAUUAAAAGUAAAAAUGCUUUUGUAAUUCUUUGGGACGAGAAGACCCUAGAAGCUUUAUUUUAAUAUAUUUAAGCAUUUUGUUUUAAAAAUAUUUUUAGUUGGGGUAAUACUUGAAGAUAUAAAUUUUUAAGCAAAAAAGGAGAAGAGAGGAAGUUACUCUAGGGAUAACAGAGUAAUUUAAUUUAAGAGUUCUUAUUAAUAAUUAAGAUUGCUACCUCGAUGUUGAAUUAAAA
Molecule: ribosomal RNA, 304 nt
Filed under: Phalangodus sp. MZSP 73078
Lineage: Eukaryota; Metazoa; Arthropoda; Arachnida; Opiliones; Cranaidae
Description: partial large subunit ribosomal RNA
Source: RNAcentral